CUACGGGAGGCAGCAGUGGGGAAUAUUGCACAAUGGGGGAAACCCUGAUGCAGCGACGCCGCGUGAACGAUGAAGUAUUUCGGUAUGUAAAGUUCUAUCAGCAGGGAAGAUAAUGACGGUACCUGACUAAGAAGCACCGGCUAAAUACAUGCCAGCAGCCGCGGUAAUACGUAUGGUGCAAGCGUUAUCCGGAUUUACUGGGUGUAAAGGGUGCGUAGGUGGUAUGGCAAGUCAGAAGUGAAAGCACGGGGCUCAACCCCGUAACUGCUUUUGAAACUGUCAAACUAGAGUGCAGGAGAGGAAAGCGGAAUUCCUAGUGUAGCGGUGAAAUGCGUAGAUAUUAGGAGGAACACCAGUGGCGAAGGCGGCUUUCUGGACUGUAACUGACACUGAGGCACGAAAGCGUGGGGAGCAAACAGGAUUAGAUACCCUCGUAGUC
This 439-nucleotide ribosomal RNA is filed under the name uncultured bacterium. RNAcentral describes it as "partial 16S ribosomal RNA". It matches the Rfam family "Bacterial small subunit ribosomal RNA", at positions 339 to 795 of the family's 1533-position model. The record is from RNAcentral.